Long non-coding RNA from Brassica napus (rape), 517 nucleotides. RefSeq lists it as uncharacterized. The transcript is spliced from 2 exons. The record is from RefSeq and is a predicted model, not a curated record. NCBI's taxonomy places the organism in Eukaryota, Viridiplantae, Streptophyta, Magnoliopsida, Brassicales, Brassicaceae.
AGAGAAGGCAUAUAAUCGUGUCUUCUUCCUCACUGAAGCAAAAAAGAGUGCGUUGAAUAAGCUUCACACCUUCUUAAUACUUCUUCUCGCUGUGUAUUUGCUUCAUCUUGAGCGUUGACGGUACCAACCAAUACGGAUGUCGAAAGAGGGAUCGGAGUUCCGUAUUAAGCGGGACAGAACCUGUACCAGGAAGGAAUCGUGACGCCGAACGCUAUCUAUGGAGAUCCGUUGGGUGCUCUGAUCCAUCAAACGAUAUAUCUAUUAUCGCUAUUGGUUGAUGAUGUCUGGUGAUGGAACCGCCACAGUGGAAGCAACCAAGCUUCGCACUCCCUGCUUGAUAAAAUGCACUUUUUUCUUCUUCUUGUUAAAUAUUGCAUGUGAAGUUGAGUCGUUCUGUUGCAUCGUGCAUGUACCGAACUAAACUGAAAGAUUAAGAAUCACACCUAUAAAAUGUGUGUUAAACGGAGUAUAUACAAUUGUCUAGUGAUUCAUCAAUUGAACAGUCCAUGUCUCGACU